This 21-nucleotide non-coding RNA is filed under the name Caenorhabditis elegans. The record is from RNAcentral. Lineage: Eukaryota; Metazoa; Nematoda; Chromadorea; Rhabditida; Rhabditidae.
UCCGGUAAUAUUUCAUUUCCA